AUCCCCCUACGGGAGGCAGCAGUGGGGAAUAUUGCACAAUGGGGGAAACCCUGAUGCAGCGACGCCGCGCGAGUGAAGAAGUAUUUCGGUAUGUAAAGCUCUAUCAGCAGGGAAGAUAAUGACGGUACCUGACUAAGAAGCCCCGGCUAACUACGUGCCAGCAGCCGCGGUAAUACGUAGGGGGCAAGCGUUAUCCGGAUUUACUGGGUGUAAAGGGAGCGUAGGUGGCAUGGUAAGCCAGAAGUGAAAACCCAGGGCUCAACUCUGCGGAUUGCUUUUGGAACUAUCAAGCUAGAGUGCUGUAG
RNAcentral lists this ribosomal RNA (305 nucleotides) under uncultured bacterium. Its description in RNAcentral is "bacterial SSU rRNA". It matches the Rfam family "Bacterial small subunit ribosomal RNA", at positions 333 to 654 of the family's 1533-position model. The record is from RNAcentral.